GGCGCACGGGUGCGUAACGCGUAUGCAAUCUACCUUUUACAGGAGAAUAGCCCAGAGAAAUUUGGAAUAAUGCUCCAUAAUAUCAUUUAUCAGCAUUGGUUUAUGAUUAAAGCUCCGGCGGUAAAAGAUGAGCAUGCGUUCUAUUAGCUAGUAGGUGAGGUAACGGCUCACCUAGGCUACGAUAGAUAGGGGCCCUGAGAGGGGGACCCCCCACACUGGUACUGAGACACGGACCAGACUCCUACGGGAGGCAGCAGUGAGGAAUAUUGGACAAUGGAGGAAACUCUGAUCCAGCCAUGCCGCGUGCAGGAUGACUGCCCUAUGGGUUGUAAACUGCUUUUAUAUAGGAAGAAACACUCCCACGUGUGGGGGCUUGACGGUACUAUAUGAAUAAGGAUCGGCUAACUCCGUGCCAGCAGCCGCGGUAAUACGGAGGAUCCAAGCGUUAUCCGGAAUCAUUGGGUUUAAAGGGUCCGCAGGCGGCCUGUUAAGUCAGAGGUGAAAUCCUACAGCUCAACUGUAGAACUGCCUUUGAUACUGAUAGGCUUGAGUUAUUGUGAAGUGGUUAGAAUGUGUGGUGUAGCGGUGAAAUGCUUAGAUAUCACACAGAAUACCCAUUGCGAAGGCAGAUCACUAACAAUAUACUGACGCUCAUGGACGAAAGCGUGGGGAGCGAACGGGAUUAGAUACCCCGGUAGUCCACGCCGUAAACGAUGGAUACUAACUGUUCGACCUUCGGGUUGAGUGGUCAAGCGAAAGUGAUAAG
This 766-nucleotide ribosomal RNA is filed under the name uncultured Bacteroidota bacterium. RNAcentral describes it as "bacterial SSU rRNA". It matches the Rfam family "Bacterial small subunit ribosomal RNA", at positions 97 to 864 of the family's 1533-position model. The record is from RNAcentral. Lineage: Bacteria; Pseudomonadati; Bacteroidota.